This 1032-nucleotide long non-coding RNA is filed under the name Bemisia tabaci. Its description in RNAcentral is "lncRNA ENSSWEETPG007363". The record is from RNAcentral. Lineage: Eukaryota; Metazoa; Arthropoda; Insecta; Hemiptera; Aleyrodidae.
AUGGUUCUAGUGAAGAGAUUUUUGAAAUGGGAAAGAUGGGACCGGUCCAAUUGGGGAAUCAGCAAUAAAAACCAUGAACUGAAACAAGUCUCCAAUAAAACGAGUGAUUUGCGGAUAGAGCUACGGCAACAAGGAUCUAACAUCCUUAAUGAUUCCUCUGAAGAGUCUCAAGAGAACAAGAACGAAGAAAAGGCACAAACAGAUAAGCCAGCAGAUGAGAACGCAGGAAAUGCGCACAAAAACGUAGCCGUGUCUACAAUACAGUCUCCGAAGCCACGAAGACCAAAAGUAACUGAUUCUUUAGAACUUUCUCGGGAAAUUCAUGAAAUUUUAGAUCGAGCCAUGCGCACUAACAAAGACGUCUCUGACAGAUCGAGGAUUCCUGCAAAAAAUGACGACAUCUCUGCGAAAUUAAAUCCUGAGGCUCAAGAAUUGUUAGUCAAACUCGUCAGUUCCUCCGAGCAAAUCGACAGUGUCAGUAUCGAAAAGGACUUGAGAAAAAGAAAUAUCAAAUCAGAGACACAAAUUUCAGUGCCUCAAGGAUCUCGAAGUCGUGAUGAUGGGUCCGAGGAAAGUUUAAACAAUGGAAACAAGUCUGAACCUACAAUAAGCAGCACAGGACGGAAUAACCAGAGUGAUUCGUCUGGAAUGGAGGACAGUGAUGACGAAGACGAAACGAUGCAGAUUGACAGCGACGAUGAGGACAGCCGAUCCGAUUCGGAGCAAACGGUGGAUCUGUCGUUGCAAGUCUCGGGUCGCCUGGCGCUCAUGAUCGGAGGAGGCGCCAUGGAUGACGUAGGCUCGAACGUGGACUACAACGGACUAAUCGACACGAAGGUCGUCUCCAGCGAGUUCGAUUUCCAAGUUGCCGCGGGCCCUCCUUGGGCACCAGACAGGGUGGUCGAACCCUUCAGCUGGUCUACGAGCUUUAUCAGGAACUCCCCGCACAUCGGCCAAGUGGACACGUGGGACUACGAUUUCGCACCACUGCGCUGGGCCUGGCCUGUCAACUUCAACGAGACUUCAGCGUAA